AUACGUAGGGGGCGAGCGUUGUCCGGAAUGAUUGGGCGUAAAGGGCGCGUAGGCGGCCCGGUAAGUCUGGAGUGAAAGUCCUGUUUUUAAGAUGGGAAUUGCUUUGGAUACUGUCGGGCUUGAGUGCAGGAGAGGUAAGUGGAAUUCCCAGUGUAGCGGUGAAAUGCGUAGAGAUUGGGAGGAACACCAGUGGCGUAGGCGACUUACUGGACUGUAACCGACGCUGAGGCGCGAAAGUGUGGGGAGCAAACAGGAUUAGAUACCCUGGUAGUCCACACUGUAAACGAUGAAUGCUAGGUGUAGGGGGUAUCGACCCCUUCUGUGCCGCAGUCAACACAAUAAGCAUUCCGCCUGGGGAGUACGGCCGCAAGGUUGAAACUCAAAUGAAUUGACGGGG
This 397-nucleotide ribosomal RNA is filed under the name uncultured bacterium. RNAcentral's name for it is "partial 16S ribosomal RNA". It matches the Rfam family "Bacterial small subunit ribosomal RNA", at positions 523 to 918 of the family's 1533-position model. The record is from RNAcentral.